GACGUAGGGUCCGAGCGUUGUCCGGAUUUACUGGGCGUAAAGAGCGCGUAGGCGGUCCGUUAAGUGUGAAGUGAAAUCUCCAGAGCUCAACUCGGAAACUGCUUCGCAUACUGGCGGACUUGAGGAAUGCAGAGGUGAAUAGAAUUCCUGGUGUAGCGGUGAAAUGCGUAGAUAUCAGGAGGAAUACCCAUGGCGAAGGCAGUUCACUGGGCAUUAUCUGACGCUGAGGCGCGAAAGCGUGGGGAGCAAACAGGAUUAGAUCCCGGGUAGU
This 271-nucleotide ribosomal RNA is filed under the name uncultured bacterium. RNAcentral's name for it is "partial 16S ribosomal RNA". It matches the Rfam family "Bacterial small subunit ribosomal RNA", at positions 524 to 794 of the family's 1533-position model. The record is from RNAcentral.